CUCGUUUCCUCUCGCCUCCUCAUCUUUGCUAUGUGUGAGAGCAGCGGCGAGAUCGGCGGGAGUGGGGAUGUUCUCUGGUUCACGAUCGAUGGUCGCAGAUGGCGGAAGCUAGGGUGGAUAUUGCACACCAUAUGUUUCCAAUGGGGAGAGAACCCUGGCAAGUGGAAUUCUACCUGAAAACUCUAACCAUACAACUAGACGUAUGCUCCUUGUAAGUACCUUAGACUGCCCAAUCUGUCUCAUUUUUAUUUGUCCUUCAGGUAUAGCAUUUACCAUGCUAGUGCUUGCUCUUUUCUCAUUGCUAAAUUUUGAUCUUUUAAAAAGUAUUCUCAGUUUACUUCCUUACAUUACAAGUCCUACUUCCAAGAAUGGUUCUAUUUUUGCAUUAUAUCUAGUGUAUUUCUAGGGCCAAUUGGCUAUUUGUUUUAGUAUUAGGCAGGGUUUUUAAUACCAUUCCGUACCAUCCGAUAUAUGUAGUACGUGCUGGUCUGCCAGUUGAUCGGCACAUGGAUUGCUCGCUAUCGGGCAGUAUCAAGUAUUUGGUUGCAGCGAGGAAGAAGAGGGCGUUCGAAGAAGAGUGAGAAGCAUCGAUAAAGAGGACUGCAGAGUCAUCGAUGCGCCAUUACUAGCGUCUUGAUGAACUUGAGCCCGUCGAACUUUGAUGCUAACUUAUCUUCUGCACCCUUUCUCGAUCUUGAUCCGAUGUCGCCAUCCCUCGAUGAUCUCGAUCCAAGAUGUAAUGGCGAGUCGUACCUCUUUAGAAGAGGAGUUGGAGGUGUUGGGAUCGGGGGAAGCGACGGUGGAAGUAGCGAAAGAGACGACGAAGACCCCGACCUUCAUCACUGAACGGUCUCCUUCGUCCAUUGUCAUCGCACGGAGAACCUUUUGAUGUCAUAUUUCUUCUCCCCACCUCCUUGACGUCGAAGGCCGUAGUCAAGGUGAUGAAGAGAAGAAGGAUGAGGCGAUGACGACGAGGCUAAAAUUGAUUUUUAUAUUUUUUCUAGGUAUAUCACUUGGUACCUCAUAUCUUAUCGUAUCAAGCAAGGCAAUAAUAUGAAAUUAAAAACCUUGAUAUUAGUGAUAUUAAUUAUCUCCAGUUUUUGCUUUUAAAUUCGUAUGCAAGUUUAGUUUCCUACACCAAACGUCCAAAAAAUCAAGGCAGCCGGGUAGGAUGAUAUGCAAUUUUUGCAUGAUAAAUUGUCCCACUCAUGGAAGCAUCCAAUGCUCCAUGUACAACACGAUAUGCUGCUUCUCGCUGAGCACGUGUCCAAUGGUAAGACAAUGUGACCGGGGUAUAAACGAACCAAGUGCCGGUGGAGACUAGUUUUUGUGGUCUGCUCAGGUGUGGGAGGAACUGGAUUACCUGUUGUUGGAUUAUAUGCUUGUGUCUAACUCGAACUACUCCAGAUUCGCAUCUCCUUGAGCUCUCAGAUGGGGGUGUUUGGGGAGCAACUUGGAGGUCUCGGAACAUAUAAAUUUAACUAGGAUGAGGCGGAGAAGAUUAUAACAGCACAUCGAUAUCGAGUAUGGUGACGCUGGGGAUAAUGGGCAAUAGUGGAGGAGAUAAAAGAGUAGAACUUCCAAGAAGAAAGAUUUUGAGAGAUGGGGUCUCUGGUUAUGAUUUGAAUGCCAAUCCUAUUUAUAUGAGGAUUUGACUAACUAAUACUUGAGUUUUUAGUAAAUGUUCUAAUUUUCCCAGAAAUAUUGUUUGAUAUAGAGUUUUAGUAGCGAAUAAAAAAAUGCUUGUAACCUAUCCCAACCUUAUGUAGUCUAAACAUUUGUUGUAGCAAUCGUACCAAAAGUCAAAUUGUUUCAGCGCAUCCAAAGGUCACCAGAUGUAGUGUUCACGUUAAAUCGUACCGACGACCCCUUGGUGUUUGGGUGGUUAGCCAUUCUAAUCCAGUUGGAUUGUUUGAGUUCAGCUUGUCCGCUUUCGGAACACGAAACAGGUGAUAUCUGUGAUUACACCUACUCGUUACUCGAUCGAGAUCACUUUUCAAUUAAAUAUACAAAUCCUUAUCAUGCCAACAGUAACGAGCCGUCUUGACGACAUGUUGGAGCUUUUCUGAGAAUCAACUUUAACGCUCACAGUCUCGGAGUGUUGGGCUGUGUCGGCCACGUUUACUUUGGUAUUGUUGCCCGGAACAAAUUACAAUGAUGGCGCAAAAACCCAAGCUAUCCUGGUGAUGGUCCAAACCACUUAUCGACCUGUUUACAAACAACUGGUCUUUGCACCUCAUCAAUCCCACGUUUCGUUCGGCCUCCUGUUGAUAAAAAAGCGUGGGUAUCGCCCCUCAUCCACCCUACGUUUUCUUUUUUUCUUAAGCCUUCACGGUGAUUUCCACUAGCAAAAUAUUGGUAGUUGUCAGAUGCCAACAUGUCAGCCUCUUUGAUCGGCGGCCAUGUCCCCACAAAUCGGUAGAUUUUCCUGUAGGAUGGUCCUUGGCGGCCAACAAUGCUUCACUCGGUAACAAGGUGAGUUGUAUUUUUAUCUUUACCUUCUUCAACUCCCUUCCAUCUUUAUAUAUCAAUGGAACUGGGAUGAUGUGACCGCAUGUCCAUUUCCUAGUGUGAUUUAAUCGGUGCCUAAUGCGCUAAUUCCGAGGUCGAGUGCUUGUCCUCGAGUAUAGCCUCCAUUCCGGAGAGCAGCUUUAUCUUCCAAUCGAUGAAGGUAGAAUAAUUCUAGUGAUACGUAACGAAGGCGCAAAAAAAUGCUUGACCGAGGCUGAAGGAUUUUUUUUUUGGAGGGACGAGGGCACCUCGCCGCGGGUUGAUUCUUUCUUUCUCGUUGGAUGUUGCUGUUAACAUCAUCCCUUUCGUCACAGGUCCUCCAUGGCUUUCGAGCCACAUUGAAGAAUCACAUACUUUUAAUCCUUUUCUCUGCUCCUGUGUCAUGGAACCACUGUCCUUAUAUCGUCCUCACACCUGUCCUAACUUACAGUGGCAGUUGCGGAGGUUGCGGGUUUUUUCUGACUUUGUCAAUCAAAAGCUGCCACACUGGCUCAGAAUCCCCUAUUUCUAGGCGAAUUGUGAGCUCCGUUUCACACUUAGGUCGCAUGGGGCCCAUCUCACUUCGGCCCAUGAAGCUAUCGUAAGGGGUAGGCGUGUUCAUCGGUGAGCCAUUUAUCUGUUGUACGACAGCCCCUCUCUGCGGCGGGAGAUGCUUUCACAUUGGAAAAUGAAAACUAGCUAUUGCAAUCGGGGUGACAUUGAACCGUUCACGUUUCUUGUGUUGGUAUCUAUCGUAGAUAACUGUGUCAGGAAGAUGCGGGGCGAAAAGGCUUAUGCUGUUCGACUGUGUUUGCAUGGCUAAGAUGGUUGCAGAAGCUAAAAUGAACGACACGUUCAAAUUCGUUUGCUUGGUCGUGUGACAGAUGGAUCUGCACAUGUUCAGCUUAUUGAUCUGCGCAUUCAUACUCUCCUGGGAAAUGACAGUUGAAUACUCAUGGACGGGAGGAGGUGUUACCAUUGCGAUCGGGUUGCUUCUUGAAGCAAGAAGACGUUGCCCCUCCUAGCAAACGAAGGGUCAUUUUACUUUAUCCUUUUUCUUUCUUUUGCCUUUUAUCAGGUUAUGAAACUCGAGUAAGAGAUGCGUUCUCUUAACAGAGGGACC
This is a long non-coding RNA of Musa acuminata AAA Group (dessert banana), 3613 nucleotides long. RefSeq lists it as uncharacterized. Lineage: Eukaryota; Viridiplantae; Streptophyta; Magnoliopsida; Zingiberales; Musaceae. The transcript has 3 exons. The record is from RefSeq and is a predicted model, not a curated record.